Molecule: ribosomal RNA, 496 nt
Filed under: Oidiodendron sp. PDKA6
Lineage: Eukaryota; Fungi; Ascomycota; Leotiomycetes; Myxotrichaceae
Description: eukaryotic LSU rRNA
Rfam family: 5.8S ribosomal RNA (bases 140-293)
Source: RNAcentral
ACCCACUGCUAUCACUACUCUCGUUGCUUUGGCGGGCCGCUGGGCCCUGCCCGGCCGCCGGCCCCGGCUGGCGCGUGCCCGCCAGAGACCUCACAGACUCUGAAUGUUAGUGUCGUCCGAGUAACUAUACAAUCGUUAAAACUUUCAACAACGGAUCUCUUGGUUCUGGCAUCGAUGAAGAACGCAGCGAAAUGCGAUAAGUAAUGCGAAUUGCAGAAUUCAGUGAGUCAUCGAAUCUUUGAACGCACAUUGCGCCCUGUGGUAUUCCGCAGGGCAUGCCUGUUCGAGCGUCAUUUCAACCCUCAAGCCUCGCUUGGUGUUGGGCCCUGCCCGCCGCGGCCGGCCCUAAAGAUAGUGGCGGCGCCGCCUGGCCCUCAGCGUAGUACAGCUCUCGCUCCAGGGUCCGGCGGCAGCCUGCCAGAACCCCCCAACUCUGUGGUUGACCUCGGAUCAGGUAGGGAUACCCGCUGAACUUAAGCAUAUCAAUAAGNCGGAG